GUGGCCUAGUGGUUAGAGCGUCCGCCUCGGAUGCGAGAGGUCGUGGGUUAGAUCCCAGGUCGACA
Molecule: non-coding RNA, 65 nt
Organism: Potamilus streckersoni
Lineage: Eukaryota; Metazoa; Mollusca; Bivalvia; Unionida; Unionidae
Source: the annotation of a GenBank genome assembly